This 278-nucleotide transfer-messenger RNA is filed under the name Treponema sp. RNAcentral's name for it is "partial transfer-messenger RNA". It matches the Rfam family "transfer-messenger RNA", at positions 1 to 311 of the family's 374-position model. Rfam says of the family: Bacterial tmRNA, also known as 10Sa RNA or SsrA, is named for its dual tRNA and mRNA-like properties. Lineage: Bacteria; Pseudomonadati; Spirochaetota; Spirochaetia; Treponematales; Treponemataceae. The record is from RNAcentral.
GGGGGUGUCCCGGUUUCGACAGGUAGGAGUGUACUUGUGCUGCAGGUGAGGCUCUCAUCUGGUCUCUGAUACAGGUGAAAACUAUAACUGCCAAACGUAGAGAAGACGAAUUGUCUGAAAACGAACAGUUAGCUCUUGCUGCUUAAUCGCGCAUGAGCCGGAACUCGCGGGGUGCUGUCCCUAACGUCGCGAUGUUCUGUCACAAACAGGGACUUGCCUUAUGUACUGUCUGAAGUAUAUAUGGGACAUCCGAAAGGAAAUCAGAAUACGGAGACGAC